Molecule: ribosomal RNA, 410 nt
Filed under: Verrucomicrobiota bacterium
Lineage: Bacteria; Pseudomonadati; Verrucomicrobiota
Description: Verrucomicrobia bacterium partial 16S ribosomal RNA
Rfam family: Bacterial small subunit ribosomal RNA
Source: RNAcentral
UGGGGAAUCUUGCACAAUGGGCGAAAGCCUGAUGCAGCGACGCCGCGUGCGAGAUGAAGGCCUUCGGGUUGUAAACCGCUUUCAGCAGGGACGAGGCCGCAAGGUGACGGUACCUGCAGAAGAAGCCCCGGCUAACUACGUGCCAGCAGCCGCGGUAAUACGUAGGGGGCAAGCGUUAUCCGGAUUCAUUGGGCGUAAAGCGCGCGUAGGCGGUCUGUUAGGUCAGGAGUCAAAUCUGGGGGCUCAACCCCUAUCCGCUCCUGAUACCGGCAGGCUUGAGUCUGGUAUGGGAAGGUGGAAUUCCAAGUGUAGCGGUGAAAUGCGCAGAUAUUUGGAAGAACACCAGUGGCGAAGGCGGCCUUCUGGGCCAUGACUGACGCUGAGGCGCGAAAGCUAGGGGAGCGAACAGG